This 253-nucleotide ribosomal RNA is filed under the name uncultured bacterium. RNAcentral's name for it is "partial 16S ribosomal RNA". It matches the Rfam family "Bacterial small subunit ribosomal RNA", at positions 524 to 776 of the family's 1533-position model. The record is from RNAcentral.
UACUUAGGGUGCGAGCGUUAAUCGGAAUUACUGGGCGUAAAGCGCACGUAGGUGGCGACGUAAGUCGGGUGUGAAAGCCCCGGGCUCAACCUGGGAAUUGCAUUCGAGACUGCAUUGCUGGAGUACGGAAGAGGAGGGCGGAAUUCCCGGUGUAGCGGUGAAAUGCGUAGAUAUCGGGAGGAACAUCAGUGGCGAAGGCGGCCCUCUGGUCCAGUACUGACACUCAAGUGCGAAAGCGUGGGGAGCAAACAGG